This is a long non-coding RNA of Megalobrama amblycephala (Wuchang bream), 826 nucleotides long. RefSeq lists it as uncharacterized. The record is from RefSeq and is a predicted model, not a curated record. Lineage: Eukaryota; Metazoa; Chordata; Actinopteri; Cypriniformes; Xenocyprididae. The transcript has 3 exons.
CACACAUCCAUACAUCCAUCAGUUUAUCAACACUUCAACCUUCACACCAAACACAAGAACUUUCACCACCUCAACAACCACACGACACACUUCAAUAUCUCUUCAUUCUAGUGGCAGUGUUUCCCUUAGCACUGAUUCUGCCAUUUCUGGCUUUAUCUUCUAGAUAUGCAAAGGAUGAAGUGGCAUGUUCUGCUAUAGUCUAUGUUGAAACGGCAUUCCCACCUGAUCACACACAGAAUGAUGCAGUGGAGCUCAUUGAGUGUCAAUACCAAUGCUGAACGGACUUAACCCCCCCACCCCCCCCCACCCCAUUUUAAUCAGAAUUCACAUUCACAGUGUUUAUUUUAGUAAUCGAGCUUAUGUCCUUUGCAUGUUACAGUACAUGGGCAAAUGGGGAGAUGAUCUUCUAAUUAACAUGUCUGUCUAUUACUGUAAUUUCUGUUAGAAAAAGUCUCAAUCUCUUUUCCUGUAUGGAUGUUGAUGUGCUGGAACAGAGGAAGAACCACACCAAACUGUUGCCACACAGUUGAAAGCAUAGUAAAGUGAGACACUGUUCAUUUGUCAUCGCAUGCUAGUUUCAUGAUUACGCUGUAUUUUUUUCUUUCAAGAUGUUUUUUUUAUUUUAGUCCUCAUUUUACUAAUUUAGUCCUUCAUACUGCUAAUGAACAUUAUUGAUUUAUGUAUUGAAACAGCCUUGUACAGUAUAUUUUGUGCAACAUGUCUAAAACUGCUAUAAUGGCCAGGGGUCUCAUUUAUAAAACUGUGCGUAGGAUCCCUACUAAAAGUGUACGUACGCGCAAAAGCUAGAUUCUGCGUACGCACAAAA